AGGUUGCAGUCUGUGUAGAGGCUGCUCUCCAUCCCGAAGGAGGCUGCAGGGAAGCUCUCUCCCCGGAGUGGCCCAGGGAGGAUUUUUCUUGGACUACAGACAGGAAAGCUGAUUCAGCCGGGAACCUUCUUCUGCAUUCAGAACCCCCACGGCUCCACCCUCCUCCAUCCCCCCCGCCCACCACGCUCCAUCCCCUGCCAGCCCCGUGACCCUGAGCCCCAGUGCGCUGGCGUUUAUUGCUAAUUGUUUUCAGACAGAUGGUGUGGCCCAGAGUCUAAUUCCCCAGGCUAGGGGGCAGGGACGCUGGAGGAGAAAGCCGUGACCUUGACCGCUGCAUUCUUGAAGAAAAGGGUUCAUCCACAUUGUAGCCUAUGUCAGAACGGCCUUCCUUUUCGAGGCUAAGUAAUAUUCCACUGCGUGGAUAGACCACAUUUUGUUUGUCCAUCCUCCACUGACGGACGCGCUGGUUGCCUCCACCUCUUGGCCAUCGUGAAAGUGCUGCUGUGAACACAGGUGUGCAAAUGUCUCUUCCAGUCCUAGAGGAUGGAUUUUUAAGAAACUAGAGAAUGGAACCCGGCUGGUACUGUCCCUUCUGCAAGGCCAUUUCCCGGGACUGAUCUCCUGAGGAGCCUGGUGGGUGGAGGAGCUCUUGCCCAUGCCUGCUGUUCAGCCUUUUCUUCACCCUUCUCCCACCCCGGCCUCUUCACACAAAAGUCUGAAAUAAAUGAAGGCAGCCAGAGCGCAGAGGUCUAGAGCUUCCCCCAGGCCCAGGAUGAAAAGCCAUGAAUCCACCCUGUGUUCAAUUUCCCCAUCAUAAAUUCACUCAUCCACAGCUGCAUUCCGGCUUCCUCCAGGACAACAGGUUGCCACCCAUGAAGACACCAAGUGGCAGCAGAGAGAGAGAUUCUAGGUCUCACACCAAGGAUGAGGGCCCAGGACAAGGGCCGCUAGUGGUCAUCUAUGGCUUAACCUCUGAGACAAUGCAUCUUUCCAUUUCCAUGCUGGAGGCCGGGUUUGCAGAGAGCCA
This is a long non-coding RNA of Callithrix jacchus (white-tufted-ear marmoset), 1027 nucleotides long. RefSeq lists it as uncharacterized. The record is from RefSeq and is a predicted model, not a curated record. NCBI's taxonomy places the organism in Eukaryota, Metazoa, Chordata, Mammalia, Primates, Cebidae.